This 164-nucleotide ribosomal RNA is filed under the name Musa ornata. Its description in RNAcentral is "5.8S ribosomal RNA". It matches the Rfam family "5.8S ribosomal RNA". Rfam says of the family: 5.8S ribosomal RNA (5.8S rRNA) is a component of the large subunit of the eukaryotic ribosome. It is transcribed by RNA polymerase I as part of the 45S precursor that also contains 18S and 28S rRNA. The record is from RNAcentral. Lineage: Eukaryota; Viridiplantae; Streptophyta; Magnoliopsida; Zingiberales; Musaceae. RNAcentral also lists the same sequence under 5 other names.
UGGACGACUCUCGGCAACGGAUAUCUCGGCUCUCGCAUCGAUGAAGAACGUAGCGAAAUGCGAUACCUGGUGUGAAUUGCAGAAUCCCGUGAACCAUCGAGUCUUUGAACGCAAGUUGCGCCCGAGGCCAUCCGGCCAAGGGCACGCCUGCCUGGGCGUCACGC